CCUCGUCUAGACGAUCGUGC
RNAcentral lists this small nuclear RNA (20 nucleotides) under Arabidopsis thaliana (thale cress). RNAcentral's name for it is "snRNA_02222". The record is from RNAcentral. Lineage: Eukaryota; Viridiplantae; Streptophyta; Magnoliopsida; Brassicales; Brassicaceae.